GACGAACGCUGGCGGCGUGCUUAACACAUGCAAGUCGAACGGAAAGGCCCUGCUUUUGUGGGGUGCUCGAGUGGCGAACGGGUGAGUAACACGUGAGUAACCUGCCCUUGACUUUGGGAUAACUUCAGGAAACUGGGGCUAAUACCGGAUAGGAGCUCCUGCUGCAUGGUGGGGGUUGGAAAGUUUCGGCGGUUGGGGAUGGACUCGCGGCUUAUCAGCUUGUUGGUGGGGUAGUGGCUUACCAAGGCUUUGACGGGUAGCCGGCCUGAGAGGGUGACCGGCCACAUGGGGACUGAGAUACGGCCCAGACUCCUACGGGAGGCAGCAGUGGGGAAUAUGGCACAAUGGGCGGAAGCCUGAUGCAGCAACGCCGCGUGCGGGAUGACGGCCUUCGGGGUGUAAACCGCUUUCGCCUGUGGCGAAGCGUGAGUGGCGGUAAUGGAUAAAGAAGCACCGGCUAACUACGUG
This 468-nucleotide ribosomal RNA is filed under the name uncultured bacterium. RNAcentral's name for it is "partial 16S ribosomal RNA". It matches the Rfam family "Bacterial small subunit ribosomal RNA", at positions 28 to 507 of the family's 1533-position model. The record is from RNAcentral.